CAGGCUUAACACAUGCAAGUCGAGGGGCAGCAUGGUCUUAGCUUGCUAAGGCCGAUGGCGACCGGCGCACGGGUGAGUAACACGUAUCCAACCUGCCGUCUACUCUUGGACAGCCUUCUGAAAGGAAGAUUAAUACAAGAUGGCAUCAUGAGUCCGCAUGUUCACAUGAUUAAAGGUAUUCCGGUAGACGAUGGGGAUGCGUUCCAUUAGAUAGUAGGCGGGGUAACGGCCCACCUAGUCUUCGAUGGAUAGGGGUUCUGAGAGGAAGGUCCCCCACAUUGGAACUGAGACACGGUCCAAACUCCUACGGGAGGCAGCAGUGAGGAAUAUUGGUCAAUGGGCGAGAGCCUGAACCAGCCAAGUAGCGUGAAGGAUGACUGCCCUAUGGGUUGUAAACUUCUUUUAUAAAGGAAUAAAGUCGGGUAUGGAUACCCGUUUGCAUGUACUUUAUGAAUAAGGAUCGGCUAACUCCGUGCCAGCAGCCGCGGUAAUACGGAGGAUCCGAGCGUUAUCCGGAUUUAUUGGGUUUAAAGGGAGCGUAGAUGGAUGUUUAAGUCAGUUGUGAAAGUUUGCGGCUCAACCGUAAAAUUGCAGUUGAUACUGGAUAUCUUGAGUGCAGUUGAGGCAGGCGGAAUUCGUGGUGUAGCGGUGAAAUGCUUAGAUAUCACGAAGAACUCCGAUUGCGAAGGCAGCCUGCUAAGCUGCAACUGACAUUGAGGCUCGAAAGUGUGGGUAUCAAACAGGAUUAGAUACCCUGGUAGUCCACACGGUAAACGAUGAAUACUCGCUGUUUGCGAUAUACAGCAAGCGGCCAAGCGAAAGCGUUAAGUAUUCCACCUGGGGAGUACGCCGGCAACGGUGAAACUCAAAGGAAUUGACGGGGGCCCGCACAAGCGGAGGAACAUGUGGUUUAAUUCGAUGAUACGCGAGGAACCUUACCCGGGCUUAAAUUGCAGAUGAAUUACGGUGAAAGCCGUAAGCCGCAAGGCAUCUGUGAAGGUGCUGCAUGGUUGUCGUCAGCUCGUGCCGUGAGGUGUCGGCUUAAGUGCCAUAACGAGCGCAACCCUUGUUGUCAGUUACUAACAGGUUCCGCUGAGGACUCUGACAAGACUGCCAUCGUAAGAUGUGAGGAAGGUGGGGAUGACGUCAAAUCAGCACGGCCCUUACGUCCGGGGCUACACACGUGUUACAAUGGGGGGUACAGAGGGCCGCUACCACGCGAGUGGAUGCCAAUCCCCAAAACCUCUCUCAGUUCGGACUGGAGUCUGCAACCCGACUCCACGAAGCUGGAUUCGCUAGUAAUCGCGCAUCAGCCACGGCGCGGUGAAUACGUUCCCGGGCCUUGUACACACCGCCCGUCAAGCCAUGGGAGCCGGGGGUACCUGAAGUGCGUAACCGCGAGGAGCGCCCUAGGGUAAAACUGGUGACUGGGG
RNAcentral lists this ribosomal RNA (1433 nucleotides) under uncultured organism. RNAcentral describes it as "16S ribosomal RNA". It matches the Rfam family "Bacterial small subunit ribosomal RNA". The record is from RNAcentral.